RNAcentral lists this ribosomal RNA (381 nucleotides) under uncultured bacterium. Its description in RNAcentral is "bacterial SSU rRNA". It matches the Rfam family "Bacterial small subunit ribosomal RNA", at positions 524 to 903 of the family's 1533-position model. The record is from RNAcentral.
UACGUAGGGUGCGAGCGUUAAUCGGAAUUACUGGGCGUAAAGCGUGCGCAGGUGGUUUGUUAAGUCAGAUGUGAAAGCCCCGAGCUUAACUUGGGAACUGCGUUUGAAACUGGCAAGCUAGAGUCUGUCAGAGGGGGGUAGAAUUCCACGUGUAGCAGUGAAAUGCGUAGAGAUGUGGAGGAACACCAGCGGCGAAGGCGGCCUUCUGGCCCAUAACUGACGCUGUAGCGCGAAAGCGUGGGGAGCGAACGGGAUUAGAUACCCCGGUAGUCCACGCCCUAAACUUUGUGCACUAGGUGUUGGGUGUAUUGACGCGCUCAGCGCCGUAGCUAACGCAUUAAGUGCACCGCCUGGGGACUACGACCGCAAGGUUAAAACUCA